This is a non-coding RNA of Kogia breviceps (pygmy sperm whale), 3171 nucleotides long. The record is from RefSeq and is a predicted model, not a curated record. Lineage: Eukaryota; Metazoa; Chordata; Mammalia; Artiodactyla; Physeteridae.
GGGCCAGGCUGGGCAGGGGUGCAGCUCCCAGCAGGGAUGCGGUCCCCACGGGGCCCCCUAGCCCUGCAGGGCCUGACAAGAGGGAAGGGGGAGCCCCUGUCCUUCCCCUCUCCUUCUUGACACAGUUUCCUCUUUUGCUUCCCUGUUCUCCUUCCAGACCUGCAGGCCUGGUAGUGUGGCCAGAGACAGGUCAGAGCGCUUCCUGGGCCAGCAAACCGGAGCCUGGGGGCCGGUCGAGCCUAGCGGGCUUGGGGGCAGGGCAGAGGCCUGGCCGGGCAACUUCCUGGGGUGCUGGGGGAGGAGCAACCAGAACACCUCAUCCUCCCCCCCAUACCCUGUGCCAGCCUCCUUUCUGACCUUGCCUGAAAUUCCCUCCCUUACUCACCAUCGGGUGCUAUCGUCAAGCCUGAGAAGUGGUUUGAGAAGCUAAUCUUGUCUUGGAAGGCUCUGGAGCUGGUCUGAGUGGACACAGGGAGAAGACACCAUCUGCAAGCCAAGGACGGAGGCCUCAGAAGGAACCAGCCCUCCAAACUCAGUCUUGGACUUCGGCUUCCAGGACCGUGAGAAAAUAAAUUUCUCGGCCGUGGAAGUACCCUCCCCCGCCCCCAGUCUGGGGUGCCUGCCAUGGCGGCCCUGGCAGUCGAACAGGCCCUCAGUCCCUCCCCCCAGAAAUGCCCUGCCUGGUACCCUCAGUCUAUUCAUCUUCUUCCCAUCUUUUCUCCUGGGUCACCAACCCCAGCUUUCACAUGGCUCUGAUUUGCAAGUGCCACCUCUGGUCCCAAGGUCUUCUUAUCUGCAGCUGUGCUGGAAGAUUCCGGAGAGUUAAACAGCACUGAGGACAGGCAGGAGGGCCCAGAAAGGCCCCCAUAGAAGGUGUGAUGAUCGCAAGCCCCCUCAUAGUUCGCUCAGCCUAAGCUGGUGGCAACGAGAGCCCAUCAGUACAGACUUGUUGGAGGCCUACCACGUCCCCUGCACCUGCUAAGCAACCCACGUGCCUGCCAGCAUAAUUCACUGAAAUAUUAACUUGGGGGUCCUCCUGCCACCUGCCUGCACCCGCUUUCCAGCACAGCACCAGGCUUGUAUGUCCUAGCCUUGGACAUUAAUGGAGCCUAGACUUUAGCAGGUGGCAAAUGGGCUAUGAUUCCCUAGGAAUAAUAUUAAAACUGGUGCACAACCUCCACACCCCAGCUUUUCAUCCCUUCUUUGGCAGAGUGGAGGGGGAAACCUCCAGGAAGCUGUGAUGAGGGGCAGUGGCCAACCCCUCCGCCCCCAGGCCCCCUCCCCCGGCUGCCAUGGGCACCAUGCUCACAGUGUCCGGGAGACCCCAGGGCAAGCAGUGAAAAUGGAGGCUGCAGGAUGCUGGUGCAUAGGCACCCCACGUGUGUGAAUGAGACAGGAGGGUACAUGGUUAGAGAAGCAAAAAGUCUACCCACCACUGGCCAGCCCACACCACGCAGUCCCUCCAGAUCCACAGCCCUAGGCUCUGCCCCUCUCAAUUCUGGACUCUCCUGCCAGUCCUGGGGCCAUUGUUGCUGGUGGGAAUGAUCUUGGGCCAGGCUCUGGGCUACAGCACUGACCUUACCAGGGGUCUAAUGCAUCACUCACCCUCACUGUACUGAGCUCUGCUGAGAGCAGUGUGCCAGGCACCUACCCAGGUCUAUUUUCCCCUUCCUUCUACUAGCAGGACCCUGAUUUGGGGAGAGGGGUAGCAACGUACCCAGCUAAAAUACUUCCUAGGAUCCUUUGUGGUGGCUAUGUCGAUCCAGUUCUGCCCAAUGGGAUGAGAGGAGAAGUCAGCUAGUAGAUAUUGAAAAAGGAACUGACUCAGCAGACAUGUUCGUCAGUUCUUUACCUCUGAUUGCUGACUUCACCCUUUCCCCUUUCUACCUUCUUGGAAGACAGUUUGGAUGCCUGGAGGUGCAGCAGCCACUUUUCAACCAUGAGGACAAAAGCCAGGUGCUGAGUGUGGUGGAGGAGAAAUAAAGAAGGAAUCUGGCUAACACCCCUAAGUAGUAGCACCGGCCCUUGACUGCCAACUCUGAAUUUAUUUUUUGCAAGAGAUGAAAAAAGAUCUCUUCUUUGUUUAAGCCCCUGUUACUUUAGUUUUCAGGUACUUGCAGGUAAACAGAGUCUUAACUGACACACAGCCCUUCCUACACAAAAUCUGGUAGCUCCUUCUGAAAUCUCAGCACCUACCCCAGCCAACCCUAGAGCAGCCCCACCCAAGGAUGGCCGUGCCUCUCCUCUGAUCCUACCACCCUGAGGUGGUGGCCCAGAGGAGUGCAGGGGUGUAGGGCCACAGGUUCAGAGAGGUUAAGUGACUUCUCCUGCAUCACAUGGCUAGUAAGAGAAGAGUCAAGAUAAGAUCUUCUAUCUCAGAAGCACUGUUUCUUCUCAGAUACUAAGAAUGGAUCACCUUCUAGCACAGCAUUUAACUUAUUUGUAUUAUGUUGGCUGUACAUGUCUGUCACCUCUCUCCCCACCUCAGUUUUAAGCCCCACACAAAUAAGGGUCUUGGUUUGCUUUGCUUAUAAAUACGUUCUAAGAGCCUAGAAUAAUGCUGGCCUAAAGAAGGUACUUGUUGAACUGAAUUAAAUAGCCAUGUUUCCUGAGUACCACCUAUUAGGGGCUCGUGUCCUCCCCAAAAUUCAUAUGCUGAAGUCCUAACGCCCAGUACCUGAGAAUGUGGUUCUAUGUGGAGACAGGUCUUUGAAGAGGUAAUGAAGUUAAAAUGAGGUCAUUAGGGUGAGCCCUAAUCCAACAUGACUGCUAUCCUUAUAAUAAGAGGAGAUUAGGACACAGACACACAGAGAAGGAAGACACUGUGAAGACAACAGAGAGAAGAAGGCCACGUACAAACCACGCAGAGAGGCUUCAGAAGAAACCAAACCUGCUGACACCCUGGCUGCAGAUUUCUAGCUUCCAGAAUCAUGAGAAAAUAAACUUCUGUAGUUUAAGCCACCCAGUCUGCGGUCCUUUGUUAUGUAGCCCUAGUGAGCGAAUAGAGCAGCCAUGCUUAGCUCUGUGUGAACGGCUUUGUACACGUUGUCUCAUUUGAUCUUAACCACAAUCCUAAGAGAUAAGUACUUACGUCUCAGGUGCGGAAACUGAGGCCCAGGAAGUGAUGAUGGGGGCAGGCACUAGGGAAAGGCUACAUCCUGAGGUGUUAGG